UCUUGACAUCUCUGUGGAUGAUUGGCACAGAAGCUGCUGAAUGCAAAUAGGACAAUGCCCCUGCCAUUUCUGCAGCUAUCUUUAGACGAGUCUCCCAAGAGAGGGCUGAUAAUCCAUUGCUUUCAUUAUGUAUGUGGUCGAAGAGGGUACCAUUGGUGAUGAAUUCAUAAACUAGUAACGGGACUGGAGUCUCUAAACAACAACCCAAGAGCCUGACUACAUUCUUGUGGUUAAUUUGGGACAGCACCACCACCUCAUUAAUGAAUUGCUCAAUUUGGUUUUGAUCAACUGUUAUUGACUUCUUGAUGGCGACUAGUCUGUUAUCUGUUAAAAUUCCUUUAUAAACAGUGCCGAAACCUCCUUUGCCAAUUAUUGUACUCUCAUCAUAAUUAUUGGUGGCCUUCUUCAACUCCUCUGCUGUGAAGAUUUUUGCUGUGUGAUCAGGGGUUCCUUCUCGUCUAGAAAGUUUCUGCUGUAAGAUGGCGCCACCAUUUUGCUGGAAGAAUUUUUCCUUUAGCUUGAUGAGCUUUCGUUUCCUGAAGACCAAGUAAAGCCAGGAGGAAAUAACAACCAAGGCUGUAAAGCCUAUGCCAACACCUAGAGUGAUUUUAACAAGUGACAAUUGAUUGGGAGUGCAACCUUGUCCAUCCUUUCUUCCAUCGCCAUGGUAUCCCUUCGGGCAAGAGCAUGUAUAGUUUCCAUCCGUGUUAGUGCAUUUAUCUGUGCACUCAUUUUCAUUUUCGCAUUCAUUGAUAUCUUGGCAUCCAACGUAUGGGUUCCCCUGGUAACCAGCCUUGCAUUCACAGCGAUACCCCGAAAUGUUGUCAGGUGGCUGAUAACUUUGGGCAUGGUCCUUACAGGCGUUUGUGUUGUUGUCCUCGAUUGCCCAAUCAAGAACCAUUGGGAAUUCUGCAGUAUUUGAUAUAUUUUGAAGGUAUUUGAAGGAGAAAUUAAAUUUGCUAUCUUCUACAAUAAAGGCAUAAGUACAGGGGUUGAAAUCCGAGACAUUGGUGUGAUUAUUGAAGCUGUAUGCAGUGACAUUUGCGCGGUACAGUCCGUCGGGAAUCUCUAUCUGGCAACACCCACUGCCGGAGCAAGAAUUAUCGUCCACGAAUUCACGUUCAGCACAGACUGACAUGCACCCGGAGCUAUACAAUUUCCCAUCUCGAA
Molecule: unclassified non-coding RNA, 1170 nt
Filed under: Hevea brasiliensis (rubber tree)
Lineage: Eukaryota; Viridiplantae; Streptophyta; Magnoliopsida; Malpighiales; Euphorbiaceae
Source: RNAcentral